Molecule: small nuclear RNA, 162 nt
Filed under: Thrips palmi
Lineage: Eukaryota; Metazoa; Arthropoda; Insecta; Thysanoptera; Thripidae
Description: U1 spliceosomal RNA
Rfam family: U1 spliceosomal RNA
About the family: U1 is a small nuclear RNA (snRNA) component of the spliceosome (involved in pre-mRNA splicing). Its 5' end forms complementary base pairs with the 5' splice junction, thus defining the 5' donor site of an intron. There are significant differences in sequence and secondary structure between metazoan and yeast U1 snRNAs, the latter being much longer (568 nucleotides as compared to 164 nucleotides in human).
Source: RNAcentral
AUACUUACCUGGCACAGGAGUUAACCGUGAUCACGAAGGCGGUUCUCCAGGGCGAGGCUGCGCCAUUGCACAAGGGCGCGGUUGACCUCUGCGAGUAUCUCAAAUGCAGAUACCUCGGGUGUGUAAUUUUUGAUAGUCGGGCUAGCGUACGCGCUGGCCCGG